AUUGAACGCUGGCGGCAUGCCUUACACAUGCAAGUCGAACGGUAACGGGUCCUUCGGGAUGCCGACGAGUGGCGAACGGGUGAGUAAUACAUCGGAACGUGUCCAGAAGAGGGGGAUAACGCAUCGAAAGAUGUGCUAAUACCGCAUAUGCUCUGAGGAGGAAAGUAGGGGAUCGAAAGACCUUACGCUUUUGGAGCGGCCGAUGUCUGAUUAGCUAGUUGGUGGGGUAAGGGCCUACCAAGGCGACGAUCAGUAGUUGGUCUGAGAGGACGACCAGCCACACUGGGACUGAGACACGGCCCAGACUCCUACGGGAGGCAGCAGUGGGGAAUUUUGGACAAUGGGCGCAAGCCUGAUCCAGCAAUGCCGCGUGAGUGAAGAAGGCCUUCGGUUGUAAGACUCUUUCUAGUCGAGAAGAAAGGACGUAGCAGUGAAGUAACUAGUAGUUUA
RNAcentral lists this ribosomal RNA (450 nucleotides) under uncultured bacterium. RNAcentral describes it as "bacterial SSU rRNA". It matches the Rfam family "Bacterial small subunit ribosomal RNA", at positions 30 to 475 of the family's 1533-position model. The record is from RNAcentral.